CGCCAACUCAUAUUAAACUGUUCUACUAAAAUACUUUAAUAAGGAUAAACAUGGUGGCUAUCUCUGAAGAAUUUGUGAAGAUUUUGGUGUCUGUCUUUGUGAUGUUGAUUGUUAUUUGUUCUGCAAGGUAUGACGAGUACGAAGGAUAUGAACGAUACGACAAAUGUAAGUCUUCAGUAUGUAAUAAUGGCUAAACUUUAUAGAUUAUAUUUCAUAUGCGAUCCAAAAAUGAUACAAAAAAUUACCGACUGUCACCUAUAAAUGUUUAAUAAUAAAAUCGAUACGUAAUGUCUCUUCAGUGAUGACCGAGGGCAAACUGUUUGAAAAUCCGAAACCAUAUUCAAACGAAAGCAGAACAACUAAAAGGAUCUAAGUAUAAACAAAACUAGACAGUUAUUCAGAGCUGUCCUUUUUUGUCUAAUAUUCCAAAUUAAAUUGUUUAACAUUAUGGUCAACAAUUGAAUUGAAUGUCCAACUCCAUCAAAAGAAUUCAUAAAAAAUAUGCGUAAUUAGUAAGAGAUCAUGUCAAAAUUUGGUAACGCUAAUUUUUUUCGGUUAUUUAAACAGGCGUGUGAACAUGUGUACUUCUUUUUCACAAACUAGUACACUUUCCUUACGAAACAGCAUGUUAGAAUUGUGGAACAAGGCAAACAUUAAAUUGUGAUUAAAAUUAUGCUGAAAUUAUAAUAUCCCUUUAUUUUUUUACACGAGAAAACUAGAGGAUAAGGUUAAAGCCCUUCAAUAUUUAUUUCUGUAAAAAAAUAUUCAAGUUUUGAUAUUCGAAUUUAUCAAAUUGGUAAUUGUUUCUUAACAGCAAGAACCUUAAAAAAUCAAAAUGUGAAUAUACGUCCAAAACUUUUUUUAGGUUAAAACCAAAUAUUGGCAAUUCAAGUUUCAAAACUAAUAUUCACCACAUACCAGAACGGCAGAUGCCGUAGGAUAUGUGUGCGUCUCUGAUUGCCACUACAAAACAAUAUGUUGUGCAAUCUUGUACAGCAGCUUUUGAUUUGUAUCAUGUUUUUCAAUUAUUUUUACCAAUCUCUGGUACAAAUUGUGUCUAUAGAGUUCCAAGUUUUAUACUGAACCACGAAACUAGGAAUAUCAUUUCCAAUAGAGACCAUUAUGUGAUAAUACAUUAUCGAACUAGAAAAUAACAUUUUAUGACAGUUGAUCGUUUAGGCUUGAUAACUGUAUUACUAUGAAUCUGAUCGCUUUUAUCCUAUACAUGUCUUAAUAAUUGAAACAUGUAGAACUAUGACAUGUUAUUCAUUUUCUUUUUCAGAGCCUUGAGUUGAAUCCACAUAAAAGACGAUUUCUGAAGAAGGAUCGGUGAUCGAACAAAAUCUGUAUAUCAUUAGGAAAUCCAUCGAUAGUUUAAUCAAACAUAUCAAAUAAAUUUUAUAGAAGAAAGAGUUGUCUUAAUAUAUAAGCAUAGGAGUACACACCAUUCCAAGAAAGCCAUGCUAUCAAUUUCAAAGUAUCCGAAACAUUAAAUAUUUGUAUGAUUAUUUCUCUAUACAGCAUAUAUUGGUAGCAAUGAGUUCACUUCUCGUAAUCCGUGCCUAAUGAAGUAAGCUUAAAUCGGGG
Molecule: long non-coding RNA, 1587 nt
Filed under: Mytilus galloprovincialis (Mediterranean mussel)
Lineage: Eukaryota; Metazoa; Mollusca; Bivalvia; Mytilida; Mytilidae
Source: RNAcentral